Molecule: ribosomal RNA, 465 nt
Filed under: uncultured bacterium
Lineage: Bacteria
Description: partial 16S ribosomal RNA
Rfam family: Bacterial small subunit ribosomal RNA
Source: RNAcentral
GACGAACGCUGGCGGCGUGCUUAACACAUGCCAGUCGUACGGUAAGGCCCUUUCGGGGGUACACGAGUGGCGAACGGGUGAGUAACACGUGAGUAACCUGCCCACAACUUUGGGAUAACGCUAGGAAACUGGUGCUAAUACUGGAUAUGUUCUCCUGCUGCAUGGUGGGGGUUGGAAAGCUCCGGCGGUUGUGGAUGGACUCGCGGCCUAUCAGCUUGUUGGUGGGGUAGUGGCCUACCAAGGCGGCGACGGGUAGCCGGCCUGAGAGGGUGACCGGCCACAUUGGGACUGAGGUACGGCCCAGACUCCGACGGGAGGCAGCAGUGGGGAAUAUUGCACAAUGGGCGCAAGCCUGAUGCAGCAACGCCGCGUGCGGGAUGACGGCCUUCGGGUUGUAAACCGCUUUCAGCAGGGACGAAGCUUUUUGUGACGGUACCUGCAGAAGAAGCACCGGCUAACUACGUG